AUCCACCUGAUGAAUUCUAACUAGGACGAAACGUACGUUCUGGAU
Molecule: non-coding RNA, 45 nt
Filed under: Schistosoma margrebowiei
Lineage: Eukaryota; Metazoa; Platyhelminthes; Trematoda; Strigeidida; Schistosomatidae
Source: RNAcentral